UACGAAGGGGGGCUAGCGUUGCUCGGAAUCACUGGGCGUAAAGCGCACGUAGGCGGAUCUUUAAGUCAGGGGUGAAAUCCUGGAGCUCAACUCCAGAACUGCCUUUGAUACUGGGGGAUCUCGAGUCCGGGAGAGGUGAGUGGAACUCCGAGUGUAGAGGUGAAAUUCGUAGAUAUUCGGAAGAACACCAGUGGCGAAGGCGGCUCACUGGCCCGGUACUGACGCUGAGGUGCGAAAGCGUGGGGAGCAAACAGG
Molecule: ribosomal RNA, 255 nt
Filed under: uncultured bacterium
Lineage: Bacteria
Description: partial 16S ribosomal RNA
Rfam family: Bacterial small subunit ribosomal RNA
Source: RNAcentral